Molecule: ribosomal RNA, 402 nt
Filed under: uncultured prokaryote
Description: bacterial SSU rRNA
Rfam family: Bacterial small subunit ribosomal RNA
Source: RNAcentral
UGGGGAAUAUUCCACAAUGGAGGAAACUCUGAUGUAGCAACGCCGCGUGGAGGAUGACACAUUUCGGUGCGUAAACUCCUUUUAUAUGGGAAGAUAAUGACGGUACCAUAUGAAUAAGCACCGGCUAACUCCGUGCCAGCAGCCGCGGUAAUACGGAGGGUGCAAGCGUUACUCGGAAUCACUGGGCGUAAAGCGCGCGCAGGCGGUCUUUUAAGUUGGAUGUGAAAUCCUAUGGCUCAACCAUAGAACUGCAUCCAAAACUGAAAGACUAGAGUCUGGGAGGGGAAGAUGGAAUUAGUGGUGUAGGGGUAAAAUCCGUAGAGAUCACUAGGAAUACCAAAAGCGAAGGCGAUCUUCUGGAACAGUACUGACGCUGAGGCGCGAAAGCGUGGGGAGCAAACA